This 201-nucleotide ribosomal RNA is filed under the name uncultured bacterium. RNAcentral describes it as "partial 16S ribosomal RNA". It matches the Rfam family "Bacterial small subunit ribosomal RNA", at positions 1299 to 1500 of the family's 1533-position model. The record is from RNAcentral.
UGCAGGCUGCAACCCGCCUGCAUGAAGUCGGAAUUGCUAGUAAUCGCGGAUCAGCAUGCCGCGGUGAAUACGUUCCCGGGCCUUGUACACACCGCCCGUCACACCAUGGGAGCCGGUAAUACCCGAAGUCAGUAGUCCAACCUCGUGAGGACGCUGCCGAAGGUAGGAUUGGCGACUGGGGUGAAGUCGUAACAAGGUAAC